Long non-coding RNA from Pseudophryne corroboree (corroboree frog), 385 nucleotides. RefSeq lists it as uncharacterized. The record is from RefSeq and is a predicted model, not a curated record. The transcript has 4 exons. NCBI's taxonomy places the organism in Eukaryota, Metazoa, Chordata, Amphibia, Anura, Myobatrachidae.
CACAGGCUGGCGGUGCUGGGAAGAGGAAGAGAGAGACGGGUUUCCUAGGCAACGAUGCAAACUACGUCCUCUUAUAUUCGUCAAUUCAUGGAAAUUCCUAGUAGGUUGAUUGUGGCAAGUCAAGAGACUAUAGAGAGAUGAUAUGAGGCCACGAGAAUUCAUGCACUGCGGACAAAAGGUCUCUAAAGGAGUAAACUGAACAGUCACUACUCCCAUCGGAUGCAAGUAAAAUGGGAUUCUAUUGCAUAGCAGUGUUUAUAGUUUAUAGGUCGUCUGGAACCUACCCGCUACAGGCACUAUAAUUGAAAAUACUGAGGUGGAAAGGGAUUUAGGAGUCACUAUUUCAAGUGACUUAAAGGCAGAGAAGCAAUGCAACAAAGCAAUG